AUGUCCAUCAACGCCCACUAUAUCAAUGCAGAAUUCAUCUACAAGAAGAAGAUCAUAAGUUUCGUAGAGGUGAAGUAUCCUCACACGGGCUAUGCGAUAGAAGAGGAACUUGUUGGUUUCCUAACAGAAUGGGGCAUAAGGGGCAAGCUGUUCACUUUGACACUAGAUAAUGCCAGUAAUAAUACUAAUACAUGUGAUGAGUUAAUAAAAUAUCACAAACCUGAGCUGCUCCUUGAAGGUCAACAUUUGCAUGUGAGGUGCUGUGCACACAUUCUCAAUAUCUUGGUUCAGGAUGGAAUGAAGAUAAUCCAUGAAGCUAUUGACAUGAUACAAGAGUUGCUGAAGUUUAUUGACUCUUCUCCUUCAAGACUUCAGGAUUUCAAUACAACUGCAAGUGGGAUGGGUCUGCCUUCAAAGAAAGUUAUGCAACUCGAAAGAUGA
This 441-nucleotide ribosomal RNA is filed under the name Triticum aestivum (bread wheat). Its description in RNAcentral is "partial small subunit ribosomal RNA". The record is from RNAcentral. Lineage: Eukaryota; Viridiplantae; Streptophyta; Magnoliopsida; Poales; Poaceae.